CACCAGCCCCUCGAGUGGUGGGGAUGAUUAUUUGGCCUAAAGCGUCCGUAGCCGGCCGGGUAAGUUUCCCGUUAAAUCCAGCGUCUCAAGCGUUGGACUGCGGGAAAUACUGCCUGGCUAGAGAGUGGGAGAGGUCAGCGGUAUUCUGGGGGUAGGGCGAAAUCCUUUGAUCCCCGGAGGACCACCAGUGGCGAAGGCCGCUGACUAGAACACGUCUGACGGUCAGGGACGAAAGCUGGGGUAGCGAACCGGAUUAGAUACCCGGGUAGUCCCAGCCGUAAACGAUGCAUGCUAGGUGUUGGGUUGGCCACGAGCCACCCAGUGCCGCAGGGAAGCCGUUAAGCAUGCCGCCUGGGAAGUACGAUCGCAAGAUUGAAACUUAAAGGAAUUGGCGGGGAGCACCACAGGCGUGAAGCCUGCGGUUU
RNAcentral lists this ribosomal RNA (425 nucleotides) under uncultured archaeon. Its description in RNAcentral is "bacterial SSU rRNA". It matches the Rfam family "Archaeal small subunit ribosomal RNA", at positions 474 to 903 of the family's 1478-position model. The record is from RNAcentral.